CUACGGGAGGCAGCAGUGGGGAAUAUUGGACAAUGGGCGCAAGCCUGAUCCAGCAAUACCGCGUGUGUGAAGAAGGCCUGCGGGUUGUAAAGCACUUUCAAUUGUGAAGAAAAGCCUGGGGUUAAUACCCUCGGGUCUUGACGUUAACUUUAGAAGAAGCACCGGCUAACUCCGUGCCAGCAGCCGCGGUAAUACGGAGGGUGCGAGCGUUAAUCGGAAUUACUGGGCGUAAAGCGUGCGUAGGCGGCUAGGUCAGUCAGAUGUGAAAGCCCCGGGCUUAACCUGGGAACUGCAUUUGAUACUGCGUGGCUAGAGUAUGGUAGAGGGAAGUGGAAUUCCGGGUGUAGCGGUGAAAUGCGUAGAUAUCCGGAGGAACACCAGUGGCGAAGGCGACUUCCUGGACCAAUACUGACGCUGAGGUACGAAAGCGUGGGUAGCAAACAGGAUUAGAUACCCGCGUAGUC
This 464-nucleotide ribosomal RNA is filed under the name uncultured bacterium. RNAcentral describes it as "partial 16S ribosomal RNA". It matches the Rfam family "Bacterial small subunit ribosomal RNA", at positions 339 to 795 of the family's 1533-position model. The record is from RNAcentral.